CUUGCCAGACUCAUCAAAAUUGGCCUCACUCCAUUUCCUUGUCUAUACUGACUGCCAGUUUAAUUCUGGCUUCACCCCAGGGCCUGGGUGCACAAAGGAGCAAGAGUCCAGCACCCAGAAGAUACCAAACGCGGAGACUGGUGGAGCUGAAUUCGCACCAAUUCUAUGAGGGGGGUGGGGCUCUCCCAAGACCCUUGGAAGGAAUAAAAACAGGAGGGUUCCCUAAGCUGCCCUGGCUGUAUAGGGCUGUCACUCUGCUCGGGCUCCAUCCAGAUUAAGCAGCUCCAGAAGCCCCAGCUUCACCGGGCGGUGGGGACCCUGGAGAACCUGUUUUCAGGCGCCAGUCGCCAGGUUAAUCGGAUCCACCAGGGUCCAGGAGCACGCCCAGCAGCCCAGUGGGCGGGGAUGACAGCGCCCAGAUCCCAGCACAGCAGCCAAGGGAUCCACGCAGAGGGCUGCUGCAGGCCCAGGGGACGUGUCUCCGCCACCGCCAGGGACUCCACGCCGUUUCUCCUCCUUGUAUGUUGGCUUCUGCAGACCUGUGAGCCGAAAUCACCGAACGCCUCCAAGCCAAACAUCCUGCUGAUCUUGGCAGAUGAUCUGGGCCUCGGGGAUAUUGGUUGCUAUGGGAACCAUACACUGAGUUCUCGGCGGACACAACAUCUUUGUUGGUAUGUGGUGCUGAGGAUCGAACCCGGGCCGC
This is a non-coding RNA of Ictidomys tridecemlineatus (thirteen-lined ground squirrel), 703 nucleotides long. Lineage: Eukaryota; Metazoa; Chordata; Mammalia; Rodentia; Sciuridae. The record is from RefSeq and is a predicted model, not a curated record.